RNA transcript from Haliotis rufescens (red abalone), 2020 nucleotides. RefSeq lists it as uncharacterized. The record is from RefSeq and is a predicted model, not a curated record. Lineage: Eukaryota; Metazoa; Mollusca; Gastropoda; Lepetellida; Haliotidae. The transcript has 7 exons.
UAUACACAUGAUAUUACUAUAUUGCAGACGGACCAGAACAAGUUGGUUUUACACAGUCAGACAACGCUGUAGCUUUCGAGAAAAGAAACCUGACCUUGACUUGUACUACCACUGCUUAUCCCAACCUGACCUUCACCUGGGACUACAGUGAUGGAACCCCUGUAGGUGGCAGCACGGGGCCUGUGGCAGGAUCUUCGACCCGGUGGUCCCAAACUCUCACCUUCAGGCCAAAUAAAGACAAGACUGCUGUGAGGUGUAAGGUCAGAAACACCAGUACAUCAGCAACUCAGGCUGGUUUUGCGUCUCUGGAAGUCAAGUACCCACCACCUGUCCCUCCUUCCAUCACAAAGUUUCAGACUCUGAUGUUUGAAGGAGACCAAGAGACAAUCAUCUGCUCGGUGACAGGAGGAAAUCCUCUAGCUACUAUCACGUGGUCCUGUCCAGGCACUGGAUCAGCAUCGGUCAGUGACAGUGGUCAGACCAGGACAUCUACCCUCUCCUUCACUGUCAGCAGGAGUCAGAACGGUCAGCAGUGUCAGUGUCUGGGGGCGUGGCAGUAUGGGGGAUACAACCAAUCUGAUGUCAGGACCUUCAGUGUCAGUUGUCCCACAAACCCACAACCACUCAAUGCCGAAUAUAACAUGGCAGGUGUAAUAGCAGGAAGCACAAUAGGAACCCUCCUUCUUACCUUGCUGAUUGGAGGACUAGUUCUGAUUGUCCUCUAUAGGAAGGGGUUCAGGUUUGGGAACGUCUUGAAAGGUAUGUUGUUGAAUUUCAUUUUGGUGCUGCGAUAUCUCAUUUGAAUGUGCCGUCAAAAGAUAUACAUGAAUGAUAUGCGUUAAAGUAAAAGUUACCCAGGAAUCUAAAUCAUCACUGACUCAGAAUGAGCACAUACAAUUUAGGAAUGUAUAUGAAAUUCAUAAUAAUAUAAGAAAUAUGCACUACAGUUUAUGUUCAGUCAUUUACGUUUUACAUUUCAUAUUUUCCAUUUGCAACAUGUUCCACAUGUUCCGUCAUUUGUAAUGUUUGUAUUACAGCAUACUAUAAAAUGAAUCAUCUUUUUUUCAGGAUCUGCUUAACCAAAAAGGAUCAGACAUCCCGAAAUUGAAGAAAUGGAAAACAUUGGUUAUUCAUCCUUGGAUCAGAUCAACAGUCAAACUCAGUACUCAAACAUGGAUAGAGAGGUGUCGGAAAAACAACAUUACACACAGUUGAAGAUUUAUGAAAAUACAAACGUCGAGCUCAAAGCAGAAACAAGUACCUACGAAGACAUGACAGAAGCUCCUCCGGUAUCCUACGAGUCCAUCGGAGCAUCUCCAUACCAAAACAGCGGCGCUCAACCUCAAGAUCCUGACUAUGGAAACAAGUGAACAAGCUCUAGAUGUGAUGACAUAAAUGGAUAAGAAUACACAUUGCGUGAACUGAAAAUUCUGUUUAACUUUCAUAAAGUAUUAUUUAUUUCAACAUAUGACUGUUAUCUUCCAGUAUUUACCGUUGUUAUUUAACAUAUUAUCUGCAUUGCAUUAUAUUAACACAUAACACAAGAUAUUGUUGUAUCCAUAACACUUGCAUGGGCUUUAGUGGCUGACACAACAAACUAUCUGUCACUUAAUUUGCUGCAUUUUCUUUGUCACUUUUUCAUAAGUUUGUUUUCAAUGAGUGGAUACAUAUACAAUAUUUAUUAUAGUAUACUAUAGUAUAAUACAUAUAACAAUAACAAAGUUUGCCAUUAGCUAUAAUUGUCCAAAUAAUGUUAUGGUCUAUAUGUUAAAUCAGUGUUCUGGUAAUGCACGUCAGAAGUGAUAUGGCGGUCUGUAUACAUUUUAUGCAUUCUGUAUCAAUUCUCAUUUUGCCUUACUUUUAAGGACACAAUGGCCUGACUUAACGUUGUAUAUGAUUAAUUAUCGCAUUUUAUUACCAACGUUUUUACUUACUACUGGUUAUAAAGAGGUACGUCGUUCGUUGUCUUGUUUGUUUGGGAUCCAAUUCUCAUAGGAAAUAAAAACUGAUUCACACUAAA